AUUGAACGCUGGCGGAAUGCUUUACACAUGCAAGUCGAACGGCAGCACGGGUGCUUGCACCUGGUGGCGAGUGGCGAACGGGUGAGUAAUGCACCGGAACGUAUCCAAUAAUGGGGGAUAACGCACCGAAAGGUGUGCUAAUACCGCAUACGCCCUGAGGGGGAAAGCGGGGGAUCGUAAGACCUCGCGUUAGUGGAGCGGCCGAUGCCGGAUUAGCUAGUUGGUGAGGUAAAGGCUCACCAAGGCGACGAUCCGUAGCUGGUCUGAGAGGACGACCAGCCACACUGGAACUGAGACACGGUCCAGACUCCUACGGGAGCAGCAGUGGGGAAUUUUGGGACAAUGGGCGCAAGCCUGAUCCAGCCAUUCCGCGUGAGUGAAGAA
RNAcentral lists this ribosomal RNA (384 nucleotides) under uncultured bacterium. RNAcentral's name for it is "bacterial SSU rRNA". It matches the Rfam family "Bacterial small subunit ribosomal RNA", at positions 30 to 412 of the family's 1533-position model. The record is from RNAcentral.